CGGUGCGUGUGCAGGAGCCCAGACUCCUGACUCUGCCUCUGGCCGGCCACCCCGUGUACUGUGGCUGCGGCUGGGCGUGCAGGGGGUUCAGGCUGUAGGGGUCGUUGACAUGGGAGUAAGGAUCUUGCGACUGGGGGUAGAUAGGCUGGUAGGGCGGGGGGAAGGAAGGGAGCUGGAAGUCUGCAUUGGGGGUGUGGGACAGCGGCGGGGCUGUAGGGAGAUUGACCUAUAGUGCCCAGCUGGGGCAACCACGCCGUCCGUCUGCUGGUGCCAUUGUGAUGGUCCUGCCAGUCCCCAAUUUUGGCAAGUAUGGACAUCCCGGCUUGGCGCUCCUGGCGAUGGGUCCCCACCAGGCAUGGGCUGGAGGGCUCCGCAGGGCCCGCUUGCUGGAAUCGCUUAGGCAAAUCCUCCUGUUUACCCGCUCACCAACAUCUCACCUGGUCAUAAAGAGCUCAGAUUUUGUUAUGUAAUUAAUUUUAAUGCUAUGAUGGCCGGGCCCCUCCCUCAGAAUUGGAAAUCUCUUUGUAUGUUUUUUUUUUUUUAGAUUUGUGUAAACCUUGUAUGCGUGGAAUCAAGAAUGAUUAAGGAAAGUGCAAAGACUUGUGCACAAAGGUGCUCUGGACAUGGAGUAAGUAAUAAGUAAGCCCAUGUUUCCUUGAAUCACAUCUCUCUUGGAAGCUUUUCAAUGUCACUCAUUAAUUUAUGUUUAUCAGGUUCUGACUAUGUGCCAGGACCUUGUGUAUCUAGAUUCAAUUUGGAGCUAAAUUGAGUAAACCCAGCAGCUAUAAUUAGUGUUAAAAACCACUUUGAUUUGAAUUGAAUUGCUGAUGACCUAAAAAAGUAUAUUAUUAUAGUUGUGUACUUUUCAAAAGAUGUUAAAUAUAUCAGUAAAUACAUAAACUUGUUCACAAAAGGAAGAUAAUUCCUGUGUCUUAUGAAUAUAAGUGGUCAUGGGAAAUUUGAUUUUAUCUCCUUUUAAAAAUAUGCUUGCUUUUGUAGAGCUUUAGUUUCAUAGCAAAAUUUAGUAGAAAGUGCAGAGAUUUUUGCAUAGACCCUCUUGACUCCAUUUGUAUACAACCUAUCACAAUUUCAACAUCACAAACCACUGUGUAACACUUGUACAAUUGAUUAUGUACACUGAUACAUAAUUAUCACCAAGAGUUCAUAGCUUACAUUAGAGUUGACUCUCAGUGUUAUAUUAUCUUUGAGUUUUUGAUUAAUAUAUAAUUACAUGUGUCCACUGGUAUGAUCAGAGUACUUUUACUCCCCUAAAAAGCUUCUGAGCUCCAUAUAUUCAAUCUUCUAUUUCCUCUAACCCCAGGCAACCACUGAUGUUUUUACCCUCUCUGUUAUUUUUUUUUUUUUUUGAGUAUCAAGUUAUUGGAAUCAUAAAUUAUGUAGGCUUUUCAGAUUGCUUCUUUCACUUAAUGAUAUGCAUUUGAUAUGCAUUCUCCACUUUUUUUUUUCUUUUCUGGAGGUCUUUUCUUUUUUUUAGUAACUUAAAAAAUGAAUUAAUUUUAAGAUUAGUUUCAGGUUCACAGCAAAAUUGGAUUAAGAUACAGGUAGUUCCCAUAUAGUUCAUACCUCAAACAUUCCUAGCUCUCUUCAUUUUCAGCAUGCCUCAUCAGAGUUGUACAAUUCUUAUAAUGGAUGAACCUACAUGGAUACACCAUCAUCACCCAAAGUCCAUAGUGUAUGUUAGGGUUCACUUUUUAUUUUGUAUGUCUUAUGGAUUUUGACAAGUGCAUAAUGACACUUGUCUCUCCCAUUAUAUCAUACAGAGUAUUUUUACUACCUUAGAAGUCCUCUGACUUUUCUCUUAAUCCUUCCCUCCCACUUAGCUCCUGGAACCCAGUGAAUUUUUUUCUCCAUAGCUUUUCCAUAAAAUCAUAUUCCUGGAGUCAUACAUUAUGUAGACUUUUUAGAUUGACUUAUUUAUUAAUAUGCAUUUAAGAGUCCUCUAUAUAUUUUCAUGCCUUGAUAGCUCAUUUCUUUUUAAUGUGAAAUAAUGUUAUUUAAUGUGAAAUAAUGUUACAUUGUCUUGAUAUACUGCAAUUAUUUAUUCAUUUACCUGCUGAAAAACAUUCUGGUUGCUUCUAAGUUUUAGCAAUUAUGAAUAAAGCUGUUAUAACCAUUCUUGUUCAGGUUUUUCGACGAAGAAUAUACAUUUUCAACUCCUUUGUGUAAAGGAUUGCAACCAGAGAAUCCUAUGGUGGGAAGAUGCCUAAUAUUGGAAGAGACUGUCAAAAUGUCUUCCAACACAACUGCAUAAUUUCAUGUUGCCCCACAACCUAGCCAGUAUUUGAUGUCAAUGUUUUAUAAUUGGUCAUUCUAGUGGUGUGCAGUGAUACCCUAUUACUAUUUGAAUUUACAUUUCACUGAUGGCAUGUGGUGUAGGUCAUCUUUUUAUAUAAUUAUUUACCAUCUGGAUAUCUUUUUUGUGAAGUAUCUGGUACAGUCUUUUGCCCAUUUUAAAAUCAGGCUGUUUAGUUUCUUUUUAUAAAGUGUUAAAUGUUUUUUGUUUAUUUUGAAUACUAGUCCUGUAUCUGAAUAUGUCCUUGUACACACAUGUUUUAUCCCCAUUAUUGGCUUAUCUUCUUGUUUCACUAACAGCAUUUUUCAAAGAGGAUAAAAAUUAAUUUUUAUUAAUAUUAAUUCUUAGAUAUGUAUUUCAUAUAUUCCCUAAGAUAUGGAACAAGACAAAGAUGAUUCUCCAUAUAGAGAAACUGAAUAUUUAACCAAAAAACUACCAGCAUUGAUAAAUGAAUUUUGUAAAGUUUCAGAAUACAGUAUUAAUAUAAAAAAAUCAGUAGCACUUUUAUAUACCAAAGAGAUUAUGAAAAUAUUCCAUUUACAAUGGCUACAAAAAAUAAAAUACCUGGGGAUAAAUUUAAUUAAGGAAGUGAAAGACCUCUACACUGAAAUUUAUAAAAUACCCAUGAAAGAAAUUGAAGAAGACACACACAAAUAAACACAAAUGAAAAGACCUUCCAUGGAACAAUUAAUAUUGUUAAAAUGUCCAUAUUAUUCAAAGAAAUUCAUACAAAAUACCAAUAACAAAUCAUAAAAUUCAUAUGGAAGCCCAAAAGAUCCCAAAUAGCAAAAGCAAUCUUGAGCAAAAGGAGCAAAGCUGCAGGGCAUUCUGAUGUCUGUAUUCCAGAUAUACUACAGUGCUUUAGUAAUCCAAAACAAAAGGGUACUGGGAUAAAAAUAUUCACAUAGACCAUUGCAACUAAAUAGAAUUCCAUGAGGAACCCCAUGCAGUUAUAGUCAACUGAUUCUUGACAAAGGUGUCAAGAAAUACACUGAAGAAAAGACAAGCUCUUCAAUCAAAGGUGGUGGGAGAACUGGAUAUACAUAAAGCAGAAGUUUGAAACUUGGCCCCUGUCUCUCAGCCCAUAUGAAAGUAAACUCAAAAUGGAUCAUAGACCUAAAUGUAAGACUGCUAUUUUUGUUUUGUUUUUGUUGUUGUUUUUGCCUCCAUUCUCUUCUCCAUAAUUGCUGUACUAAUUUACGUUCUUAUCAACAACAUACAAGAGUUCCUUUUUUCUACACUGUUGCCAAUAUGUGUAUAUGUGUGUGUAUGUGUGUGUGUGUGUGUGUGUGUGUGUCUGUGUCUUUUCAAUAAUAACCAUUCUGCUUGGGAUGAGAUAUUAUGGUUCCAAUUUGCAUUUCUAAGAUAACUAAUGAUAUUGAGCAUUUUCUUAUAUAUUAGUUAGUUAUUUGUAUUCAUUCUCUUGAGAAGUAUAUAUUAAGGUCAUGCAACCAUUUAAAAGUUGUUUUAUAUUUUGUAGUUGAGUUUUUUUAGUUUCCUAUUUAUUCUGAAUAUCAAUCCUUUGUCAGAUUAGUAGUUAUCAAAUAUUUUCUCCAUUUUUUUCACUCCAUGUAUUACUACCUUUGUUUUGAAAAUGCUACUUAGUUUUAAAUAAUUUUAUUGGAUGGUUUUUGGCUUUAGUUGCUUGUGCUUUUGGAUCUUGUGAAAAAAUCCUUACCUACAUGGAUGUUAUUAAAUGUUUACCCUAUGUUUUCUUCUAGUAGUUUCAUGAUUUUAGGUCUUACAUUUAGGUCUAUUUAUAACCUAUGCAAUUUUUGGGAUGGUGGGCUCACCAUGGCUGAGGCUCACAUUCCAGACCACCUGGGGCCACCACUCUGCCUCCCUGGGACAAGGAUUUAGCUUUAGAAUCAACAUAAAUGCCCAUGAUUAGAUGAAUAAAGAAAGUGUGGUAUAUACACACAAUGGAGUAUUAUUUAGCCAUACAAAGAAUGAAAUUCUGUACUUUGCAGCAAAAUGGAUGGAACUUUAGGACAUGCUGAGAGAAAUAAGGUAGGUACUAAAAGACAUAUAACCCAUGUUCUCUUUCCUGUAGAUCUUUCAAAAAGUUGAUCUGAAUGUAGAAUAUGGAUUAAUAGUGACUGAGCGGAGUAGGGGGAAGGGAGAAGGGAGCGGGGGAAGGGAGUGGGGUAGGGAGAAUCAGAUAAUGGGAACAAAAUCAAAAUUGCAUAGGUUAUAAAUUUUAGUGUUCCAAAGCACAGUAGGGUGAAUAUAAUCCACAAUCACCUAUUAUAUAUUUUAUGAAGAACUAGAAGAGAGGAAUUUGAUGUCUCCAAGCAUAAAGAAGUGAUAAGGAUAUGGAAAUUCUAAUUUUCUUUAUUCAAUCUGUAAAUACUAUAAGCAUUAUUGAAAUAUCACCUCUACUCUAUGAAUAUAUAUAAUUGUUACAUGUUAAUAGAACAAAAUUAUAAAAGGGCUUCCAUUGACAAAAUAUGAGGCAAUUUGGGCAUUGUUAUAAAUAAUGAUAUAAAUAGAUUUUUGCUCAUUGAAUAAAGUAAAAUAAAUGUGAUUUUGUUUUAAUAAAUAAGUAAAAAUUUAACAAGUAAAUGUAUUACAUGGUAUUUCCAAUAAUAUCAUUUACUAUUAUUGAUUAUUGUUAAUGACAAUAACUGCAUAAAUGAAUGGGGAGGAAGGAAAAAUUUUCCUUACAUUAUAAGCAAUAUAGAAAGAAUGAGGGGGUUAAAGAAUUAUCAGUGGAUUCUAAAACUAGUGGGUGGAAAUUUUAUAAGGAGUGAUAUAGUUCCAUAAUCUUAAAUUAUUUCCUUAUGUAUUAGUCAGCUUUUCAUUGCUGUGACUCAAGUACCUGACAACAACAACUUAGAGAAGGAAAAGUUGGGCUUCAUAACUUCAAAGAUUGAGUCCAAGAUCAGCCAACUCCAUUCUUCUGGACCUGACGUAAGGCAGAACAUCUUGAUGGAAGGGUGGUGGAGGAGAAAAGCUGCUCAACUUAUGACAGCCAGAAAGCAGAGAGGGAAAAAAGGGGCAGGGGGACGGGAAUGAAUGUGUGUGCAUGAGAGAGUCAGAGAAAGACAAAGUUCAUGCAUGAAGGUAUAACCCCAAGGGCAAAAUAACCUCAUAAUUUGAAUAAACUCUUGGGUGGAAAUUGAGGCAGCCAUGCCCCAUCAGCCUAUAGUUACCACACAAUAGUUUAUUCAAAUGAUAAAUCUAUCCAAUGGAUUAAUCUCCUGAUGACAUUUUAUUAUUAUUGCCCAAAAGCCCCACCUCUGAAUCUUCCAAAACAUGAGCUUUUGAAGGUUAACUAAGUGACACGAGUGAUGAUGCAAUACUGGAACAAACUGACAUUAGAGGAACAUCAGUUUUGUAAAGAGUUUCAGGGGAAAAGAUUCAUGUUCUUAGUUGUAAUAUUUAGAUUCAAUGUAAGACAGCCCAAAUUGAGAGAUGUUUUAUAUUAUUUUGAGAGGUAGCAUAGUAUAAUGCUCAAGACUUAGUUUAAAUGCUGGCUCUCUCCAUUAGUAGCAGUUUGACUUUUGGAAAGCUAAAUAUGUAUGUCUCAGUUUCUUCAUUUGUAAAGUGGGAAUGAUAAUAGUCCUUUUAUGCUUUUAGAUCUGAAAUGUGUCCCCAGAAAGCUCAUGUAUUAGGAAAUGUAGCAAAGUUCAGAGGUGACAGAUGGAAUCAUGAGGGCUCUGACUUCCUAAGUGCACUAAUUCUUUUGAUGGAUUAAUAAUUGGAUUGCACUUAGUGGAAGGUAGUGAAAAUGAUAAGCAGGUGGAGCAUAGCUGAAGGAAGUAGGUCACUGGGGACUUGGCCUUGGCACUGUAUCUGUACCUGACUCUUUUCUAUUUCUCUCUGCUAUCUUACAGGGCUGUUAUGAGUAUUUAAUGAGUAAAUCCAUAUAAAGUGCUCAGAAUAGAGACUCACAGCUAAUAAGCCCAAUAAAUGUGUUUGCUGUCAUCAUUCAUUAAUUAAUUACAUUAAUUAAAUACAUUUAAUUACAUUUCUCAGUUACAGAAAAAAAUCACUUACUAAACUUGUACUAUAUCUAAGCAUCUAGAUGCUCAGAUUACAAAAUGCUUUUAAUUAAAAAUCAAACAAAUGCAGAUAAAACCAAAUCCUGUCCUGGUUAAGGGUAGUUUUAGGCCAGUAAAUAUUUAGCAUCCAGUCUGGGGAACAGUAAAGUACUUUAUGUAGAGGCAAAUGCCUCAAUCUAUCAACAUAAAUCACUGAAUGUGGAAAUGGGAAUUGAGGCAUACAAUCAGGCUGGAGCUGAUUUUAGCUUUCGAAAGUAUAUCACUGUAAAGGUGGCAUUUCAAUUAGAAUUUAAGUAGUAUGUGUUUUUGAAAUUGCACACUAAAUUUACAGAGAAAUAUUUGAAGGUACUGUAUGUUCUUAGUCACUUUAUAGUUCUUUUUUGUUUUUCUAUUCUCCUUCUCCUCCUGCUCUUCCUCCUCCUGCUCUUCUUCCUCUUCUUCCUCUCUCCUCCUCCUCCUCUUCUUCUUUGGUGUGUAUAUUUGAGUCUUUAAGAAAUCAAACAUUUAUUUUGUACAAUUAUCUCUCUAAAUAAAUCACUAUAGAAAUCAAAUUGUGUUAGGUAAAGAUUCAAAACUAAACAUGAUGAUCUAUCUGAUAAUUUCACUUUCAAUGCAAAAAUAUUUUUUAAAAAAAUCCAAAUUUUAAAUAAUGAUCCUAGGUGUGCAAUUCCCAAGGUGUGUGCAACUGUUCUGAUGGUUACCUGCCUCCAGAUUGCCAAACAAGUGCCAGAAGUGCUUUUAUGACUGUAAAAUUGGGCAAGUACUAGUCUCUUUAGAUAAAAUUUUCAAAUUUUUUAUCCUCUCUAAACUAACAUUAGAUUUUUAUCACUUGAAUCGAUACUAACAUUUUAAAGGUAAUCUGAGUUUUCUUAAAGAAUGUGAUCCAAAUAUGCCUUCUUAUUCUUUCUCUUUUUUAUAAUAUUAAAAUACCAUAAUUGAAUCUGAAUAUCUUUGAAACUUUUUCCUUACUGAUACCAUUGACUUUCUUCUUUAGAAUAUUUUUCAGCUGGCCUCUAUAUGAUUGAGUUUUCAACUGUAAGCAAAUAGUAUUUACUAUAUCUGGUACUAUUACUAUGUUUAUGUUAUAGAAGAAAUGAAAUAGAAGACAAAAUUUCAUUCCAAAGGAGUUUGUAGUUUAAAUGAGAACAAUCUGUAAUAGUUGUGGUGUGGAAGGGAGUGAAAAAGUGGUUUUCCAAAGAAGAGGAAUUCCUAAGUAGCGAGUAAGUUGAAUUUGUGUUCUGAAGCUAACCUUUAGUAGCAUUUUAAUCUAAUAAUAUGUAAGGUAAUAUGAGCAGCAACAACAAUUUGCGUUUUACCAGGAUUUUGAGUCAAUAUCUCAUUUAGUUGUGUGAGGUGUUUGUGAAUUUUUCUUUUGAAAGAUGCAGAGAUUUGGGAGUAUAGUUAAAUAACUUGCCAAAGUCAUUGCUCUGCCCUUAACUCCCACCCAGUUAAUCCUAUCAGGAGAUUAAUCCACUGAUUGGGUUAAGACUCUCAUAACCCAAUCAAUCCAGGUUUUCUACAGGAGCAUCACUAGUGUUUAUUAAAAAUGUACAUUUCUCAUGAUAGGACAGGCAUAGAGUAAUAGUUAUAGGUAUUCCCACUUUUUAAAGGAAGGUUAUAAAAUAUCUUCCCUGAGACUGCCUUGCCACCCAUUCAGGGGCCCAGGUCAGGCCCAGGAUAGGCCCCACCGACUAGGAGACCCACACUGAAGCUGAGAUCCAGGCCUUCUCCACAGCCCUCUCCACACAGUAGCCUCCACCUUGUGACAACAGACAGGGCCUAGAAGCAGGUGCAUCUCCAAGCAGGCAUCCCAAAGCCAGUGCAGAGCCUGCACUUUCAACCCCGUCUCUGAAAGAGGUUGCAUCAAUUUUGGGGGACCCCCACUACUAUCUCGAGUUACCUCUGCUAUUUCUGCAACCACCUUACUUGAAGUAGCAUUCAUUCAGGUACACUGGCAGAGUCUGGAAGCCCAACGCCAAGGUGAGGUACUGGUAAUCUGUCCAGAUACUACAAGAUUAUAGGGUAGAGAGCUGGGAUUGUGGCUUAGCGGUAGAGCGCUCACCCAGCACGUGUGAGGCCCUGGGUUUAAUCCUCAGCACCCCAUAAAAAUAAAUAAAUAAAUAAAAUAAAGAUAUUGUGUCCAACUACAACUAAAAAAUAAAUAUUAAAAAAAGAUUGCAGGGUAUAAAGUGUAAUACCUCAGAUCUUCACUGCAAGCAAGGAACACACAUAGACGAUAUGAAAAAACAAGGGAAGAAAGUGCCCCAAAUAAAUCAGAAUACUACAAUAAUAGAAUCCAUGGACAUCACAGUUAAUGAAAUGUCAGAGAAAGAGUUCAGAAUAUACAUAAUUGAAAUGAUAUGUGAGUUAAAGCAGGAACUAAAUGAGCAAAUAUUGAUCACUCCAACAAAGAGAUAAGAGGGCAAAUACAGGCAAACAUUGAUCACACCAACAAAGAGAUAAGGGAGCAAAUACAGGUAGCAAAAGAUUAGUUCAAGAAAGAGAGAUUCUGGGAAAAACACACACACACACACAAAAUAAAAAAUCCUUGAAAUAAAGGAAACAAUAUACCAAAUAAAAGACUCAAUAGAAAGCAUCACCAACAGAAUAGAUCACUUGGAAGACAGAAUGUCAGAUAAUGAAGACAGAGUAUACAAUCUGGAAAAUAAAGUUGACCACACAGUGAAGGUAGUAAGAAACCAUGAACAGAACAUCCAACCCUAACCCUAACCCAACAAUUAUGAAUAGCAUCAACAGACGAAAUCUAAGAGCUAUUGGGAUAGAGAAAGGCACAAAAAUUCAAACCAAAGGGAUGCACAAUCUCUUCAAUGAGAUAAUAUCAGAAAAUUUCCCAACAUGAAGAAUGAAUUGAAAAAUCAAAUACAGGUUGCUUACAAUACACCAAAUUGCAAAAUUUCAACAGAUCUAUACCAAGACACAUUAUAUUAAAAUGCCUAGCAUACAGAUUAAGGAUAGAAUUUGAAGGCCACAAAAGAGAAGCAUUAUAUCACAUAUAGGAGGAGACCAAUUCGUAUCUCAACAGAUUUUUCAACCCAGACCCUCAUAGCCAAGGAGGUCAUGGAACAACAUAUACCAAGCUCUGAAAGAUAAUGGAUGCCAACCAAGAAUCUUACAUUCAGCAAAAUUAAGCUUCGGAUUUAAUGAUGAAAUAAAACACUUUCAUGAUAAACAAAAGUUAAAAGAAUUUACAGUGAGAAAGCCUACACUACAGAGCACCCUCAGCAAAACAUUCAAGGAGGAGAAAAUUAAAAACAACAAUAAAAAUCAGCAAAGAGAGGAACUACACUAAAGGAAAGGCCCAUCAAAGGAGUAACCAAGUAAAAACCAAAAAUAAACCAAAAUGUCCAGGAAUUCAAAUCAUAUUUCAAUAAUAACCCGGAAUGUAAAUGGCCUAAAUUCAUCAAUUAAAAGACAUAGACUGACAGAUUGGAUUUACCAAAAAGACCCAAAAUAUGUUGCCUUCAAUGCUCAUCUUACAGGAAAAGACAUUCACAGACUGAAGGUGAAAGGGUGGGAAAAACUGUACCAGUCAUGUGGAACACAUAAACAAGCAGGGGUUUUCAUCCUCAUGUCAGAUAAAGUGGACCUCAAACCAAAGCUAAUAAAAAUGGAUAAAGAAGGACAUGUCAUACUGCUUAAGGGACACAUACAUCAAAAUGUCAUAACAAUCAUAAAUAUCUAUGACACAAACAAUGGGAAAUCUAUGUAAAACAAACCUUUCUCAAAUACAUGAACCAAAUAGACCACAACACAAUAAUACUGAGUGACUUUAAUACAUCUCUGUCAUCACUGGAUAGAUCUUCCAAGCAAAAACUACAGAAAGAAAAUAUAGAACUCUAUAAUAGUACAAAUAAUUUGGAAUUAACAGUCAUAUAUAGAAUAAUCCACCCAUCAAUGAGCAAAUACACUUCCUUCUCAGCAGCAAAUGCAUCCUUCUCCAAAAUAGACCAUAUGUUAUGCCACAAAGCAAGUCUUAGCAAACAAACAAACAAACAAAAAAUAGAGUUAGUAUCCUGCAUUAUAUCAGACUAUAAUGGAAUAAAAUUGGAAAUCAAUGAUAAAAUUUAAAAGAAAAGCUGCUCCAACACCUGGAGACUAAAAAAUACCCUAUGGAUAACAAAGGACAUCAGGAAGGAGAUAAAAAAAAAUCUUGGAGUUAAAAGAAAACUCCAAUACAACUGAUCAAAAUCUCUGGGACACAAUGAAGACAGUGCUAAGAGGCAAGUUCAUUGCAUGGAGUUCAUUUAUUAAAAUAAGAAAAAGUCAACAAAUAAACAACCUGACAUUAUACCUCAAAGCCUGGAAAAAGAAGAGAAAACUAAUACCAAAAGUAGUAGAAGAUAAGAAGUAAAUAAAGUCAGGGUGGAAUAGAGAAUGUAUUGGUACAACAUAUUUCUCAAAGAAAUGUCAUGUUUUUGGAACACUACAGACAGUUCAUUUAAUAUCCAGUUGACUCUCAGGGCCAGGAGACUUCAUAGGCCUAUUAAGUAAAGAGUUUUCAAAUUAUGGGACCUUAUAUAUCUGUUUGUAUUUCUAUCUUCCUUCUCAAGGUUUGGCAUCCAGAAGACAUUAAUGAAUGAAUGUAUAAAUGUAUUAAAUGAAGGCACAGAUAAUAGCUACAUCUACACUUUCAGGAUAUAAAACAUUUUGUACAAAACUGCAGAAUAUAAUGGUGGGAAGCUCUCUGUUAUAUAUAGUAAGAAUUCUCUUUUCUACAGUUGCCAAUAACAAGAUUCUCAUUUUCUUUUGAGCCCUCACUGACAAAGCCUUCAAUAUUCAACCUAGGUGCCCUUCAAUAGAUGAAUGAUAAAGAAACUGUAGUAUAUAUGCACAAUGGAAUAUUACUCAGCAUUAAAAGAGAAUAAAAUUAUGCAUUUGCAGGUAAAUGGAUGGAAUUGGAGAAUAUCGGGCUAAGCAAAGUAAGCCAAUCCCAGAAAACCAAAGGAUGAAUGUUGUCUCUUAUAAGUGGAUACUGAUUCAUAUGGGAGAGGGAGGAAUGGGGGAACUUUGAUUAGACAAAGUGGAGGGAGAACUGGGGAGUAUGCAUGGGGGCAGAAAAGAUGGUGGAAUGAGGUGGACAUCAUUACCCUAGGUACAUGUAUGACUGCACAUAUGGUAUGACACUAUAUCGUAUGCAACUAAAGCAAUGAAAAGUUAUGCUGCAAUUGUGUACAGUGAAUCAAAAUGCAUUCGGCUGUCAUAUAUACCUAAUUGGAAUUAAUUAAUUAAUUAAUAAAAAU
Molecule: long non-coding RNA, 11582 nt
Filed under: Marmota monax (woodchuck)
Lineage: Eukaryota; Metazoa; Chordata; Mammalia; Rodentia; Sciuridae
Rfam family: tRNA (bases 8354-8424)
Source: RNAcentral